This 601-nucleotide long non-coding RNA is filed under the name Homo sapiens (human). RNAcentral describes it as "HSALNT0214980". Lineage: Eukaryota; Metazoa; Chordata; Mammalia; Primates; Hominidae. The record is from RNAcentral.
GGAAACCCAAGGAAACGCUUCCAGCUGGAGUGCUCGGAGGUGUAGGACAUUGUUCUCUUCCCUUCCCGGGUCCUGUUGUUUUAGAACCUAAUCAAUAAAAAUUAAGCUGGUGCCUGUGGGUCCUUGUCCUGUCUCCAUCCAGGCCACUUUCAUAGGUUGCCUCAUUUUACUUUUUCAGUACUAGGGAGAAGAGUGGUCUUCCCAUGGCGCGGAUGAGGAGACUAAGGCCUGGAAUGUAUGUGGUACAGAGGUUGAGACCACGUCAGCCUGCGCCGUCUUCAUCAGGCCCUCUGACACAACAUUAAGGGCAUGGCAAGGAGUCAGUUGCUCCGUGACCCUAAACCUCAUCCCUCUGGAGGCUUCAUCUCUGCUCUGGCUAAGAAAUGCUCUGACCUUGAAGUGCACAGCAGAGUGAUAUUCUGAGCCAGAGUCCUCCAGAAGAAUGGGUAAGUACAUGCAAAUUGCUGAGUCUCUGUUCAUUGCAUCCAAAACGAAAGUCACCAGCGUGCUGUAUAACUCAAGAAAAUACGAGAGAGAGGGAAAAGCAACAUCACAGUUUGACUACAAGCGGUUUCCAGUAAGUACUGCAGCCGAAAAUCCC